UCUGGUGAUAAUUGGCGAGGGGAAACACCCGUUCCCAUCUCGAACACGGCCGUUAAGCCCUCAGCCGCCAAUGGUAGUUGGACGUUAGGUUCCGCGAGAGUAGGUUAUUGCCAGGA
This 116-nucleotide ribosomal RNA is filed under the name Opitutaceae bacterium. The record is from RNAcentral. Lineage: Bacteria; Pseudomonadati; Verrucomicrobiota; Opitutia; Opitutales; Opitutaceae.